This is a long non-coding RNA of Etheostoma spectabile (orangethroat darter), 776 nucleotides long. RefSeq lists it as uncharacterized. The transcript is spliced from 8 exons. The record is from RefSeq and is a predicted model, not a curated record. Lineage: Eukaryota; Metazoa; Chordata; Actinopteri; Perciformes; Percidae.
AGACGAGGAUGGCGGUUUGUUUCCUCUCUCCCUGAUGCCGUAAUAGCUUUCCAGUUUGAAAACCGAACCGUUACAACCCCCCACCAGUAGGGGGCCGCUGCUCUGAGCAGACCGAUUCCUCCGUUAGAAGAAGAGAAAGGACCAGGACGGACCACGCGGCUCAGCUCACGGAGAGAUGAAUCCGGAUGGAGACAUUUGAGGAGAAGAUGGAUGAGCUGCUCAUGCUCUACAGGAGCUCCAUGUCACCUCCCUCUGCUCCAAUCACAGCGUGCCAUUUGCCCAACAGCAGCUGGGCCAAAUAUCCAGUUAAAAAAAUAUGGCUGUGUACAGAUUCCUACGCCAAAGCUGUGGACCGGUGUCGGCUGAUAGACACGUCCAGCAUCCAGACAGAAGAUGAAGCAAGUGUCCAAAAAAGGCAGCGCCGACGCCCAAGGAGGUUUAUGACAGAUUCUUCAAGCGAUGCUCAGCAGAUAUCACUUCCUCCACCACCUGCAUGAAACCAGCUGGUUGCCCAGAGCGGGAUGAGUCUUUAGUGACCCUACCACGGACUGCCACUUCAUCUUGGGACCCAGUUAAAGAAGAACUCACACAGAGGGAGGUGGCUCAGACAUGGAGAUCAAAAUGAGAGCAAUUUUUCCGGUCAACCUUCGGUGGUUGUACUGGAGGUGAUGCCAUCCGCCGCAUGCUGCUGAUACAGUCCAGCCUGCGGGGAAGAAAGACAAAGAAAGCCUCCCAGGACCUGGCUGUAUGCAGGGUUAUAACAGGCAGGUUUUAUU